GACAACACAGCUUAAUACUAAUCUGACAGCGAUGAUUCCUGAAGGAUAUAUACAUAUACACAUUCGGUCAAGGGCCGUUUGCCGUUACAGUACGGGCGAGAUGUAUGGAUCUUCGAAUCAAUUAGAUCGUCUUCACCACCACCUGGUGCCGCGAAAUGGAGAGUGGCUGUCCCUUGUCGUUAAUAGGCGGCUAUUGGCCAGCACCAAUGUGACAAGGGGCCACUCGACGGCUUGAUUAAUGGAUGCACCAGGAAUCACCACACACGAUUAUGUCCUUUGGCCGGCAAAUUAAUUGAUAAAGAGGAAAAGAUAAAUACAACUUACAUAGUCAUUCAUGAAUGGAACCGGGGUCGAACAACCGGACGGCCAGGUGAGAAACGCAGCAGCACACAGCGGAAUCACUGGGUGAUCCUUGAGGUAUACCAGAUUUUCUUCCAUAAUUUGUGUUGAUCGAAUCGGCCUGCAUGCGGUGGUGUUGCCGCUGAUGGGCGAUGUUGAAUUUCCAGACAACAAAGGAUGAAAUAACCAUGCGGUCGUCCACUCGAAACUUGUAUCACCAGGACACUACACUGCCUGGUGCCGCCGUGAUCCAAUCACGACCUUUCGCGCCGUGUUUACCGCCUGCGAUGCUGCGUGCGAUUCUCUGUUUGUGCGUCGUGUGCCUGGCCACCCGGGUAUCCACUUUCGGCCAUUUUUUUAUUUUUAUGAUUUGUAAUGAAAAGAAAUUGUAUUUUAAUUUUAAAUAAAUUUUAAAUAUUUUACUGACAUUUUGUUUUUUGUUU
Long non-coding RNA from Chrysoperla carnea, 782 nucleotides. RefSeq lists it as uncharacterized. NCBI's taxonomy places the organism in Eukaryota, Metazoa, Arthropoda, Insecta, Neuroptera, Chrysopidae. The record is from RefSeq and is a predicted model, not a curated record. The transcript has 4 exons.